Molecule: RNA transcript, 8921 nt
Organism: Chionomys nivalis (European snow vole)
Lineage: Eukaryota; Metazoa; Chordata; Mammalia; Rodentia; Cricetidae
Gene: Cdk20
Gene name: cyclin dependent kinase 20
Exons: 9
Source: RefSeq, a predicted model, not a curated record
UUUGCGGGUGGACUGCUGAGGGUUCCUGGAAAGGUGUUGCUUAGCGGGGAUCAGAUUCCCGACAGAGCUCAGCGCCGGUCUUUCCGGUCACGUGCUGCACGUAGCUGCGGUUAGACUCGCUAUUGCUAGGCAACGGCUUGCACGCUUUGUCCGGUGCUGCAUCCUAGCUGUGGAGGAUCUGGGCGCCAUAGGCGGACAUGGACCAGUACUGCAUCCUCGGUCGCAUCGGGGAGGGCGCCCAUGGCAUCGUCUUCAAAGCCAAGCACGUAGAGACUGGAGAAAUCGUUGCCCUCAAGAAGGUGGCCCUGCGGCGGCUGGAGGAUGGCAUUCCUAACCAGGCCCUAAGGGAAAUCAAGGCUCUGCAGGAGAUGGAGGACAGUCAGUAUGUGGUACAGCUGAAAGCCGUGUUCCCACAUGGUGCAGGAUUUGUGCUGGCCUUCGAGUUUAUGCUGUCAGACCUGGCAGAGGUGGUGCGCCAUGCUGAAAGGCCCCUGGCCCCAGCACAGGUCAAGAGCUACCUGCAGAUGCUGUUCAAAGGUGUUGCAUUUUGCCACGCCAACAACAUUGUGCAUCGGGACCUGAAGCCCGCCAACCUGCUCAUCAGUGCCUCAGGCGAGCUCAAGAUCGCGGACUUUGGCCUGGCCCGCAUCUUCUCUCCAGAUGGUGGUCGCCUCUACACACAUCAAGUGGCUACCAGGUGGUACCGAGCUCCUGAGCUCCUGUAUGGUGCCCGGCAGUAUGACCAGGGCGUCGACCUAUGGGCUGUGGGCUGCAUUAUGGGAGAACUGUUGAAUGGGUCCCCCCUGUUCCCGGGAGAGAAUGACAUCGAGCAACUUUGCUGUGUGUUUCGCAUCCUGGGCACGCCCAGUCCUCGAGUCUGGCCGGAGAUCACAGAGCUGCCUGACUACAACAAGAUCGCCUUCAAGGAGCAGGCACCGGUGCCCCUGGAGGAGGUGCUGCCUGAUGCCUCUCCCCAGGCCUUGGACCUGCUGGGCCAGUUCCUCCUCUACCCUCCACACCAGCGUAUUGCAGCCUCCCAGGCCCUUCUGCAUCAGUACUUCUUCACAGCUCCUCUGCCUGCCCAUCCCUCUGAGCUGCCAAUUCCUCAGCGCCCAGGCCCCCCUCAUGUCCAUGACUUCGAUGUGGACCGUCCUCUUGAGGAGUCACUGCUGAACCCAGAGCUGAUUCGGCCCUUCAUCCCAGAGGGGUGCUCGCCUAGUCCUGCCUGCUUGCCCCAGGAGCAUCUAGACAGCUGUUCCUCUGCCUUUUCCUGAUUUGUCUCCAUAGCCUCCCCAUGGAUACACACACCACAUGCUGGACAGUUAGUUUUUCUGUAGGACGAGGUGAGAAGAGCUCCGGUGGUCGCGUCAUCCUUGCUGGACGAGGGGGGCCGUGACAGUUGGUGGCCCGUACGGGGACAAGACAAGUGGUGCCGCGUACGGGGAACCUCCAAACCUCUCUCCGUGGAGCCCAGAACUUGCUGCAGUCAGGGGGUGCACCGGAUAAUCCUCAGGUAAAGGCUGGGGAUCCGCGAGAAAAGCGGGUUUUCCGCUCUCGCCGGUAGAAGGGAGAGUGGGGGUAAAUAGGGCUGCGACUAUAGCAGACGGAUCAAAGUGAGAGCCACGACCAAAGUGGACGGUUUAAAGUAAAACUAAAAGGAAGAAUGGGAUUUUAGAAUGGGCGCUUCAACAUCACACCUGAUUUUUCUGGCUCUUAACGAGCUGAUAAGGAGCGCAUUGGAAAAGUUUUUGACUGAAUGUGACACAAUUGCUCCUUGGUUUGCCGUCUCUGGCAAUCUUAAUGUGUCAUCCUGGGACAAGCUUGGUAGAGAUCUGAAUUUUGCCACUGAACAAGGUACGCUAAGGAAGGGAGUUAGAUUCAUGUGGUUUGAAUUACCGAGACCUCCUGAGUUUGCAGAGGAGAGUGAGCAGCUGCGGCUCCAAGGCCAAGCAGCGCUGAGGGUCUGCAAACCUGCAAACACACAGGACCUGCCUUGAGGACCAACAAGGCCAGAACGCUAGGCCACUCCCAGCGUGUGCCUCAGGGCAUAGAAGCGCAGCACAACCAGGGCUGUUCUGCACUGCCACGCCUCCACCUUCCAGCUCGGUGGGGAGGUAGAGUCUCCUCCUCUCCCCAGUCGCUGCCACGCCUCCACCUUCCAGCUCGGUGGGGAGGUAGAGUCUCCGCCUUUCCCCAGUCACUGCCGUGACCUGCGUCCAAACGAGGCUGAAAAUGGCAGUAAAAAUGCAACGUCCCCGCUCAGCAGGAAGUAGCCAGACAGAUUGACAACGCCCAAAUUCCCUAAAACGUGUAAGUGGGGACCCUUCAAUGGUUGCAGAGCAGCAAGCCUGCUUUCCUGAGUUCCGCUCCACUCUGUGCACCAGUCUGGACCCAGAACGAAUGCAGCUGGGGCAGAAAGGCAGCUGGAGCAGAGCUUUGCUAGGUGGCUGUGGUGGAAGGCACAUUGCCUCAGCAGUCAGUGCCUAGCCUGGCAGAUGCCACAGCAGUGCUAAGAGUAUCAGCAAACGCAACGAGUGCUGGAGCUGAGACAAGCUGGAGCACAGACCCCACAGGGCUGCCCGAGAACGCAGCGUAGCCACAGGGCAAGGAAAAGGCAAUGGUAGUUUUAGGCUCUGCACGCCGCUGAAGAGUUUGCGACAGAGCGAAUUUAAAUCAAGAGACUGCCCUAUUGUAAGAGCAGGUACCUGUGUGUACUGUUUUAGCCAAAGGGUUGGUAGAAUACCAUAGCCCAAAUGGGAGGUUGGGUCUAAUGGUGAUUAGGAACCCUACUGCUGGCAAUCUCAACACCUGUUGUCAUGGGCAUUUAUCUUUAAAUCCUGUGUAAGAUCAGACAACCCAUGAGAAUGCAGCAUAUGGUCACUUAGCAGAAGCAGGAUCAGCUGAGUUGCUAGGGAAGCCAAAGAGGUGCACGAGAAGGUGUCUUCCAUGCACUCAGCUGACAAGAAUGAAUGUGCCACGGGGGUAUGGCAGCUGGGGUAUGUUAAGAGACGCAAGUCCAUACCCUAGUCUGUCAGACAUUUCUAUCCAUCCAGGGCUGUGUGUGACCAGCAUUCAAUAUGACUCAUGCAGCUAAUCUGUCUAAAGAAUUGUCUAGAUAUCUUUUAGGUAAUUGGUCUGGUGAAUUCGAAAACAACUGGAAAAGCUGCGGAUGACGAUUGCGACUGUGAACUCCACACACAUGGAUACCAGCCUGGCAGAAGGACUAUCCUCCUGGAUCACUCCAUGGAUCAUCUGAAGGAGUGGGCGGGAGUAGGAGCCCUAGCAGGCUUAAUGGAGCUUGCCUCCCUGGUAUGCCUGUGGUGCGUCUGUCACAUAAAUGUUUCACAGCAUUGCAAUGCAGUUAUGAUCAUUCAGGCCUUCACGGCCAUUGAAGCAAGUUUGGCUAGAGAUGUAAGCGAGCACAGGAUGCGAGGCUUGCGCACUGCACUUGAGGUAAGCAUACAUCAACCUCAAGAAGAGCAAGUCUGAUUGCAUGUGGGUUGGUGUCUAACUCCCACCUCUGUAAAAAGACACCGGACAGGUCUAGUGUUCUCUGGGUGAAUGACACCUGGACGGACACUAGCACAUGUUCCAUUUUUAACAGAGAUCAGACCUCUACUCUUGCCUUGUAGCUUUACAAAACAAAAAGGGGGAACUGUAGCGAGCUGCAUGGAGCCACACCUGAUGGCUAUGUGUAGAGAGCUGCGUGGAGUCGCACCUGAUGGUGCUGGCUCCCACCCUCCGCGAUCCCGAAAGCGAGUGCUCUCUGUGAUAAUCAACUUCCAAUAUCAACUAGGCCUGACUUAUGCUAUUAUCACGCAAUGAUUGUCAGCUGCUUGCAUAUGCAUGGACCUAUGGGCAGUGCCCACCUGGCAAUCCGGGGUUGGUUGCCCAUGCCUACUUAAGGACUGGGAGAGGUUAGCCCAGGGAGAGAGGAAAAGAGAUAGAGGGAGAGAGUGAGAGUGAGUGAGAGAGAGGGAGAGAGAGAGAUUUUACAAUUGUCAAAAGGUCCUGACUAAAACUGCAGUGAGAAGAGCUCCGGUGGUCACGUCAUCCUUGCUGGACGAGGGGGGCCGCGACAACAUAGGAGACACAUUAUAUUCUUAAAAUGUUUGUUUUAGUCUUAACAUGCAUUGGUUGUUGUGUGAGUACUGGGGACACAGAGGUAACCAACAGAUUUCCACCAUGCUGCUCUCAGGAAAUCCUGAUGUCUUCAUAACCCGAGCUCCAUUUAUUUCUCUGAUCAUGUCUGCAGACUCUUAAGAGCUACAAGAAACUAAUGGGUGACAACUUGUGUCUGGACGCUGUUUGGAAACGAAGGUACAGGAUGAUAAAAAUGUAGUCCAUUUGUUGAUUCACACAUCAGUGCCUUCAGUGAUCUCUGCAGAGCCUUUUCUAACUCCACAUCGCACAGUGAUACCCAGGCAUACAGGGAAACAUUGACCAGCAGAAUUUCCAGAUGGUGGACUCACCAGAUAGUGCAACUACCACACUUGGUACUGGUAGAAACAGUGGGUGGUAUUGAAAGUCAUGUAAUAAUACAACAAAAUACAAAUUUACAGCCUGUAGUAGGAUGGUCUACCCUCCACCCCCACACACAAAAAAAGAUUUUGUUUGGCUUGUUCUUUUCAAGAUGAGAUGAUGAGCCUGACUUUGAACUCGCUUUGUGACUGAGAUGACCUCGAUGCCUACACUUUUAUUGGGAUUACACCCCUGUGUUACCACACUUUACUUGUAGUAAUUUGAAUGCAGAGUACAUAUUCUAGCUGGAACAGAGGUGGUUACUUAUAUUAAAAAGGGAGAGAAGUGGGUAUUUUCAAGAAUGGAAUUAUAAAUAUAAAUCAAACUUUUACAAGCAGAAGAAUUAAAAAAAUGUGGUAUAGCUUGAUAUCAGAGUAGGCACUUACUAGGGAUAAACAUUAAACUUGCAUGAGUUGGCAAAAAUUGCUACAUAUGUAUGCAUACAAUACAGAUUUUUCCUCUUUUUGAUACUGAAUCUUGUGUAGCUGAGGCUAGUAUCAAACUCAUUAUAUAGCCAAGGCUAGCAUCAAACUCACUGUGUAGCUUAGAAUUACAGAAGCUUGCAGAGUCCAGCUCUGCAGACUUCCUCCAGAGUUGAGGUCAGAGGCCACUGUGUAGUGGAAGGGGUUAGAAUAGCUCUAAUCUGAGGGUUUACACAAAAGGCUCACUGUGCUGUUCCGAACAUGUCUCUUUAUUCUACUUCUAUUUUAAUUCUGUCCUAAUUUUCUAUAAUUUCUUAGCUCUAAUUCUCAAUUCUAAUUCCAAUUCUCUGUUCCAGUUAUUUUCCAUUCUUUUUUCUUAUUUUCCUGCAUUAUUUUUCCUACAUUCUCUAUACCUUUACAUUUCUGCCAGCUUCUGUUUGCUCUCUUAGCUUUUACAGACCCACAGAAUCUUGCAGGCAUUACCUCUGAAGGUCACAUACUAUUUCUUAAGUAAAUGAUAAGAAACAGUCAUUCCAACAAUUCACAGUGCAAUAAAUCCAGAUAGUAAGAAAAGAGCACUUUCUUUUAGUUAACUCCCUAACUAGUGGACUGCAAACCGCAGCUGUAAAAGAAGUCUUUUUGUUAUCCAUAGAGGUAGCCUUACAAAACUAAACUAAUAAGAGAGAUAAGGAAAUUGUGUGCUAUAUCCUCUACUUUUAAAAAAGAUUAUGUUUACAGUGUUCUGUCUUCAUGUAUGUCUAUAGGCCAGAAGAGGGAGCCACCAUGUGGUUGCUGGGAAUUGAACUCAGUAUCUCUGGAAGAGUUCUUAACCACUGAGCCAUCUCUCCAGCCCCUAUAUCCUAUACUUUUGAUUGUAUAAAACAUCUUAAACAUUUUGUGAUCAGUAAUCAUAAAGUCCAGGCUUUCUGGGACUGGGGACUUGUUUGUUUACAAAUGUGUCCUCAGAGAGAGGGCAGCAGCAGCUGGAGCUGCAGGGCCAGGGGCAGAGAAGUCCAUACAAAACUCACCAAGGCACAGUGGCAUUGAAAGCAUUUUCAAUCUUAAGAUAUAUUUUUCUGUCCAGCAUGUAACCCUUGACCAUAGAAAGAAAAGCUUGUAAAACUUUUUUUUGGGGGGGGGGGCUAUGAAGUUAGUUUAUAUUUAUAUUUUGUAGCUAACCCUGGCCAGUUAGAGAAUCUUCCAUGGUGCCUGAACAAAGGCUGAGGUUAGGAAUCUGUGUAGAGUUAAUUAUUGUUCCCGGUACUCCAGAUAAAUUACUUUGCACUAUUUACCUUGGCUCAAUAAAUUGUAUAGCUGGCUACAUGUUCUAGUAAAUAAGAUUGUAUUCUUUUUUGUUUUGUUUUUCAAGACAGGGUUUCUUUGUGUAACAGUCCUAGAUGUCCUAGAACUCACUUGUAGACCAGGCUGGCCUUGAACUCAAAAAGAUCCGCCUAUCUCAGCCUCCCAAGUGCUGGGAUUAAAGGUGUGCACUACCACCGCCCAGCUAAGAUUGUAUUCUUUUGGUAAUAGUUUACCUUAAAAUCCAAUUAGCAAAGCACCUGGCCUGAUCUAAACUUUAAAGUUUUAUAUCAGUUGAUAGUGUGUGGCUAUCUUGGCAGCUGGGGAAAUUACAGUGUUUUCUUAAGCUGUACUCUAGUUCCACUUUUAAUGGAAGCUUAGAACUUCUGACUUGGGCAGCAUUUGUUUUAUUCAUCAAAACUCGGUAUAGGUUAACAGUAUUAAUACUAAUUGGAUAAUACAGCUAAGGCAGAACCCUCUUCUUGACAAUUCACAGAUAAAAAUGCCCAGUAGAUCAGGAAUGUAUUCAUGCGAUACACACACACACACACACACACACACACACACACAUUACAGGCUAGGGAAAGAAUGCAUUUAGCACAUUUAAAAUUAUAGGGAGAAACGUCAGAUAUUCUGGCGUCUGUAUUUCUUGCAGGUCUUGCAAGGCACACUUCCUCCAUCAGAAGUUAAUUCUGGUCGGUUGACACCUUGAAUAUUAAUUGCUCCUGUAAUAAAUGAUAAAGGCUCUCUGCCAGAAUGACCCUGAACUCAUCCUGCAGCCAGUGCAGGUGUGAACUACUGAUUCUGUAUUCUGCAGUGCUGAGGAUUGAAUCCAGAGUUCAAUGUCCAGUGCAUGCCGGACAUUUCAACCCUUUGAGGACUCAACAAGGCCUUAAUGUGGUGUGGGAGGUCCUUCUGUCUAUGUGUUGCUUUCAUUGGUUAAUAAAGGAGCUGCUUUGGGCCUGUAGCAGAGCUGUAGGGGAACAGAGCUAGAAGGGAAAGAUAAAUGGAAUUCUGGGAAGAAGAGGGAGAGAGAGACACCAUGGAGCCACCAGAGUCAGACAUGCUGAGUCUUUGCCAUUAAGCCACUGCCAUGUGGCGAUAUACAGAUUAAUAGAAAUGGGUUAAAUUAAUAUAAAAGUUAGUCAAUAAGAGGCUAGAGCUAAUGAACCAAGCAGUGUUUUAAUUAAUACAGUUUCUGUGUGGUUACUUUGGGGCUAAGCUAGCCAGGCGGCUGGGACGAACAACUGGGCCCUCCUCCAACAUUAAUGUCUUGUCCAUGUUGUCUUUGAAUUCAUGUUUCCAGCCUCUGGUGUAGCUGGGUUUACAGGUGGAUGCCACUGCAGCUGACUUCAGAGUUUAAGAUAGAUGUGAGUAAUGAGAGCUAAAAAUAGACAAAUUCACUUUCAAGGUAGUUGAUUUAAAGCUGGGCCUGGUAUGGCUGCCAGUGGUGUCAUACAGUUUUAAUGCCAACACUUGAGAUGUUGGCAGAUCUCUGUGAGUUCAAGACCAGCCUGGUCUACAUAACAAGUUCCAGGCUGGACUACAUAUUGAGACCCUUUCAAAAAAAAUGUUUGCAUGAUAGGAUUAAUGGCAGGCAAGACAUAAAGAGAAGAUUGGUGUGUGUGUGUGUGUAUACAAGUACAUGUGUGCUUUAGCACAUGUUUAGCAUAUGUACAAAGGUCAAAGGGCAACGUUCCAAGAGUUGGUUUUCCCCUAUCAUGUAUCCCAGGUAUUGAGUUCAGGCCAUCAGGCUGGGUGACAAGUGCCUUUACCAGUAGGGACAAGGUUUAUGCAGAUUUUUCAUUCACAUAAGGGACCUGAGACUGUAGACUGAACCUGCAGGGUUCUGGAAGCAAUUCCCUGUGCACACUGAUGGGUGACUGCAUUUUUCUACAGGGCCAAAUACUCGGUGGAUUUAAUAAAGUGAGACUUAGUGACAUUUGUUUGUAGUGCUGCCAUCAUGAGUCACAGUAUUUCACAGGCUAUUUUUUUUUUGUUUGUUUCCAGAAGGGAACUGAUUCACACUCUGCUUGUGGGUAUCAGUAUUUGAGGAAUUUCCAGAAAUUACCUGCAAAGUCUUUACCCAGAACUGUGAAGUCUUCUGUAAUUAGAAACAAAGUGUUCAUGUCUCCAGUUCACCUGAAGGCUUCAUCCAGGUGAAAGAGUUGGCUGUGACCUGGUUCCUGGUCUCUUCAUUGCUAACUAGGCACUAAGGAUGAGAUUCCAAAGCUAUCUGCUGCCAUCUUCCAUCCCAGCCUGGCCGUGAUACCUCUUUCAUUUGGGAAUUCUUUCCUUCUGGAGGUCUGAGCCCACCUCAUCUACUCAGCAGGUGCACCUGGUCCAGUCUAGGGUUGAGAGUAUCCCAGUCCAUCCUCAGCAGAAGGUCAGAGGUUACGCUUGGGAUUGAGGAAACUCUUCAGAGGAGUCUUUCUCUGAAUGGAAGUUGAGAGAGACAACAUCUUUCUGUCAGGUUUUAAGGGUAUGGAGGGACUGGAAGAGUGACUGCCCUACUGUGACAGGAGCAAGCCUAAUAUUAGUCUUCAGGGGUAAAUGAAGUUCAUACAGAGGAGAAUAGAAAGGAGAAAGAAAGUACUAAUGACUUUAUGUGCUUAGGAAUGGCAGGAACUUUUUAUAGCAGGAGUGGGUCUCAGUAUUAACAAGGAUUUAAGAUGGGAG